Patella vulgata (common limpet) is the source of this 849-nucleotide long non-coding RNA. RefSeq lists it as uncharacterized. The record is from RefSeq and is a predicted model, not a curated record. The transcript is spliced from 2 exons. Lineage: Eukaryota; Metazoa; Mollusca; Gastropoda; Patellidae.
CCCCCCCCCCCCGUAGUUAAUGGGAUUGUUCCCAAUCUGAUUAAAAACACAGAUCUUAUUUCGUCUCUUUUUUUGUAUAGUUCAAAAUUUCCUUUUAUAUGUCUUUACUACACUAGGAUCUGGAAGAGUUGUUAUAUAACCCGCUUCUGGAUGAUGAUGUGAGGGAUUAGCUAAUGAAACAGUCUGUUGCAGUGAGUUCUUGGUGUGCGAUGCAUGCAACUGUGGGUAUCCUACUAGAUACAUCAACGCUGAUUGGUUAAUCAAAUGUCUGACGUCAUAGGUCAAAAGUCGCCUGCAUGACCCCUAACGCAACCUCCCACUACAACUGGUCAGAUCUUCAUGUAGUAGAGGCCAUAGAAAGUAUUAAAAAAAGACAAGUAAAAUGAAAUUUUGAAAUAUAAAAACAAAACGAAAUAGGAUCUGUGUUUUAAUCAGCUUGUUUUAUAAUAAAAUAGAUAAAUAUAAAGGUCCUGUAUCAAAUAUUAUAUUUUGUUUGUAUACUUGUUUACUGUGUGUACCUGUAUAUUUUCACAUAACAUAACAGAUAUUGUAAAUGUAUUUAUUGUAUAAUUUUAUAUAUAAAAUAUAAAUAUACAGAGAUACUUAUAACACAUUUGUUACUAUUAGUAUGGUUCUACAUAUUUUACAGUAGUUAUUUAUAGCCGAUAUUUAAUAUCUAGAUGAUUCUGCUAUUAAUGGACUCCAGAACAAUUUGCUCAAAUUGAUGUGACUUGAUUUACAAAAAUGUAUAUCUUUUAGCUUCAAAUCAGAAGUGUUUUUUUUUAUAAUAAUUCUUGAUUAACCAUGAAAGAUAAUACAUUUAUAAUAAAUAAUAAAUAUAAUAAAUCA